CUAGGAAUCUUGCGCAAUGGACGAAAGUCUGACGCAGCGACACCGCGUGAGGGAUGAAGGUCUUUGGAUCGUAAACCUCUUUUGACUGGGAAGCACUCGCAAGAGUGGACGGUACCAGUAGAAUAAGCACCUGCUAACCAUGUGCCAGCAGCCGCGGUAAUACAUGGGGUGCAAGCGUUAUCCGGAUUUACUGGGCGUAAAGAGUUCGUAGGCGUUUUGCCAAGUUUCGUUUGAAAGACCGAGGCUCAACUUCGGGACCGGACGAAAAACUGGCAGAAUCGAGUUUGCUAGGGGGUACUGGAAUUCAUAGUGUAGCAGUGAAAUGCGUUGAUAUUAUGAAGAACACCAAGGGCGAAGGCAGGUACCUGGGGCAACACUGACGCUGAGGAACGAAAGCUAG
Molecule: ribosomal RNA, 400 nt
Filed under: uncultured bacterium
Lineage: Bacteria
Description: bacterial SSU rRNA
Rfam family: Bacterial small subunit ribosomal RNA
Source: RNAcentral